CGUUAUAGUUUGCACAAGACCCUUUCCGUAAGAUUUGGUUCCAAGAAUUACACCCCUGUCGUGAUCCUGUAUAGCACCUGCAACAAUUUCAGAAGCAGAUGCAGAACCGCCGUUUAUUAGAACAACCA
Non-coding RNA from Ignavibacteria bacterium, 128 nucleotides. Lineage: Bacteria; Pseudomonadati; Ignavibacteriota; Ignavibacteria. The record is from Rfam.